RNAcentral lists this ribosomal RNA (497 nucleotides) under uncultured bacterium. RNAcentral's name for it is "partial 16S ribosomal RNA". It matches the Rfam family "Bacterial small subunit ribosomal RNA", at positions 28 to 507 of the family's 1533-position model. The record is from RNAcentral.
GAUGAACGCUGGCGGCGUGCCUAAUACAUGCAAGUCGAGCGAACAGACGAGGAGCUUGCUCCUCUGACGUUAGCGGCGGACGGGUGAGUAACACGUGGAUAACCUCCCUAUAAGACUGGGAUAACUUCGGGAAACCGGAGCUAACACCGGAUAAUAUAUUGAACCGCAUGGUUCAAUAGUGAAAGACGGUUUUGCUGUCACUUAUAGAUGGAUCCGCGCCGCAUUAGCUAGUUGGUAAGGUAACGGCUUACCAAGGCAACGAUGCGUAGCCGACCUGAGAGGGUGAUCGGCCACACUGGAACUGAGACACGGUCCAGACUCCUACGGGAGGCAGCAGUAGGGAAUCUUCCGCAAUGGGCGAAAGCUUGACGGAGCAACGCCGCGUGAGUGAUGAAGGUCUUCGGAUCGUAAAACUCUGUUAUUAGGGAAGAACAAAUGUGUAAGUAACUGUGCACGUCUUGACGGUACCUAAUCAGAAAGCCACGGCUAACUACGUG